CUUGGUUCAGGACGAACGCUGGCGGCGUGCCUAACACAUGCAAGUCGAGCGAGGAGAUCCUUCGGGAUGAUCCUAGCGGCGGACGGGUGAGUAACACGUGGGCAACCUGCCUCAUAGAGAGGAAUAGCCUUCCGAAAGGGAGAUUAAUACCUCAUAACAUUGCAGUUUCGCAUGGAACAGCAAUUAAAGGAGCAAUCCGCUAUGAGAUGGGCCCGCGGCGCAUUAGCUAGUUGGUGAGGUAACGGCUCACCAAGGCGACGAUGCGUAGCCGACCUGAGAGGGUGAUCGGCCACAUUGGGACUGAGACACGGCCCAGACUCCUACGGGAGGCAGCAGUGGGGAAUAUUGCACAAUGGGGGAAACCCUGAUGCCAGCAACGCCGCGUGAGUGAUGACGGCCUUCGGGUUGUAAAGCUCUGUCUUCAGGGACGAUAAUGACGGUACCUGAGGAGGAAGCCACGGCUAACUACGUGCCAGCCGCCGC
RNAcentral lists this ribosomal RNA (483 nucleotides) under uncultured bacterium. Its description in RNAcentral is "bacterial SSU rRNA". It matches the Rfam family "Bacterial small subunit ribosomal RNA", at positions 18 to 518 of the family's 1533-position model. The record is from RNAcentral.